GGCCUAAACAGGAUGUAAAUAUUUGCGGGCGGUGGGGGAGAGGUGGUUUUUGAGCUGGGGCUGUCCUAAGCAGGGGCCCGCCCGCCUCCAUCCCCUCUCCAGGGUGGGUGUGGGGGGCAUGUGCAGGCUGUACCCCUGAUUGGGGCCCGGGUUUGGGACUCCAGUACCCUCCGAGGGAGUCCCCUAACCUUCUGAUCACCCCCGCCCCGCCCCAUUCUCUUAAUCAACCGGGUUCCCCCAUCCGCCUUGCUGAGACUUAGCACUGGCUUCCCGGCGCUUGCGAGGUGCGUGGCCAGCUCCCCAGCCUCACCUGCCCUUCCUGCACCUGGACACCCUUUGUCUCGGCUGCGCGGAGUUCCCGCCAUCCCCAGGCUGUACAGGUAUUGCCCCUCGCUCGCUUCCACCGCUGGUUUCGCCGGGACUUAACUUACCUCUGUGAGCUUUGACUUGUCUCCAAGACCCCCCUCCCCGAGUUUGCACGGACUACGCCCUCUUCUGGAACCCGGGCCGCCCCGCCUCUCGGGCUCUCCCGGGAGAAUAACUCCUGCUCGGUUCUCAGGGCCUGGCCUGAGCAUCACUUCCUGGAAGAAACUGUCCCUAAUGCUUCUCCACCAGCUCUGAGCUCAGAGUCGCUCUGCUCCACGCGUGGCAUCUGCCGUGCUGAGCGGAAGCCCUUCCUCAUCUGUAUCCCAUACUGGGGACAGGGCCCUGACUUCGGUCCUAAAUAAAUAUUUGUUGAAUAAAUGAACAGGUGGAUGGACGGACGGACCCAUAAAGACAUGGUCCAAUUACCGCCUGCGUCUGUGGCCUUCUCUGACUUGCCGCUAUCCCCAGCUGGCACAUCUGCACCAUGGAUGCAAAGCUUCUCUUUGGGGGCCUUUCACACCGCACCAGCUUGUCUCUAGCGUGUGUUCCCCCCACCCCACCCCACAGCCUGUGUACAGUGUCCCUGCACCUAGGGCACUUCCUGGGGCAUAACAAGCUGCAAUCUUGGUAGAAUCUUGCAGGGUAUCGAAGAUUUCCAAAGUUAUACCCUGCACCCCACAACCUCUGGCAAGAUGCAAACAUUCUUUCUGUGAGAUGCACCUUCUUGGAAUUGGGGCCCUUGGGGCUUCCUGAAGAAUGUGGUGUCUGCACAAGCGUGCAGGAGUGGGCAUGCUCAGGCUAUACUUCACUUCGUGACUCCUUCAGAGGGAGAGAGAGAAUGAACAGCGAGAGGAGUAGAGGGAGAGAGAGAAUCCCAAGCAGACUCCACACUGAACACAGAGCCUGAUGCAGGGCUUGAUGUCACGACCCUCAGAUCAUGACCUGAGGUGAAAUCAAGACUCAGAGGCUUACCCAGCUGAGCCACCCAGGCACACCAAGAAUUUUGUUUUCUGUCUUUUUUUCUCCUUUCCAUGCCCUUCGUCUUUUGUAUAACUAACUGCCCUGGUGAGGUUAAGAGUCAGGGAGCUUAGCCUAGGUGCAGAUUCAAUUUCCUGGGAUUUUGCAGAUUUGUUAGGAGAGAAGAGGAGGAAUUCACUUGGGCUUGCCCUUGACCUUUCCUUUGGUUUGUUGCUUGACCUGUGGUUUCCCCAACAUGCCCUGGCCCCCCCAGUGUGGCUGCUGUAUGGCCUACAGGAAUAGCUGGAGUUUCUAAGCUCUGAGCUCUGUUUGGGAUCAAGUCCAACAAGUCACAGAAGGCUCAAUAUAAAGAAGCCCUGUUAUACAGUUCUGCCCCAAAGGUCACCUCCUUCUCAGAUUCUCCUGGCAUCCUAAGUGUAUCAGCAAAUGCAGAGUCCUGUGGGUGCCAACAGGCCUCCUGUAGAGUGGGAUUUUUGGAAAAGAACCAUGAGAGAGUUAAGAAUUA
Molecule: long non-coding RNA, 1849 nt
Organism: Nyctereutes procyonoides (raccoon dog)
Lineage: Eukaryota; Metazoa; Chordata; Mammalia; Carnivora; Canidae
Exons: 2
Source: RefSeq, a predicted model, not a curated record